UACGUAGGGCGCAAGCGUUAUCCGGAAUUAUUGGGCGUAAAGAGCUCGUAGGCGGUUUGUCGCGUCUGCCGUGAAAGUCCGGGGCUCAACUCCGGAUCUGCGGUGGGUACGGGCAGACUAGAGUGAUGUAGGGGAGACUGGAAUUCCUGGUGUAGCGGUGAAAUGCGCAGAUAUCAGGAGGAACACCGAUGGCGAAGGCAGGUCUCUGGGCAUUAACUGACGCUGAGGCGCGAAAGCCAGGGGAGCGAACGGG
RNAcentral lists this ribosomal RNA (253 nucleotides) under uncultured bacterium. Its description in RNAcentral is "partial 16S ribosomal RNA". It matches the Rfam family "Bacterial small subunit ribosomal RNA", at positions 524 to 776 of the family's 1533-position model. The record is from RNAcentral.